RNAcentral lists this ribosomal RNA (119 nucleotides) under Pteropus alecto (black flying fox). The record is from RNAcentral. Lineage: Eukaryota; Metazoa; Chordata; Mammalia; Chiroptera; Pteropodidae.
GUCUAUGGCCAUGCUACCCUGAACAAGUCUGAUCCCGUCUGAUCUCGGAAGCCAAGCACAUUCGGGCCUGGUCAGUGGUUGGAUAGGAGACCACCUAGGAAGACGAAGUGCUGUAGGCA